Molecule: ribosomal RNA, 422 nt
Filed under: uncultured bacterium
Lineage: Bacteria
Description: bacterial SSU rRNA
Rfam family: Bacterial small subunit ribosomal RNA
Source: RNAcentral
CUCAAUCGGGAAACUGCCUUUCAAACUAUCUGGCUUGAGACUGGAAGAGGGAAAUGGAAUUAGCAGUGUAAGGGUGAAAUCUGUAGAUAUUGCUAAGAACACCAGCGGCGAAGGCGAUUUCCUGGUCCAGCUCUGACGCUAAACUGCGAAAGCUAGGGGAGCGAACAGAAUUAGAUACUCUGGUAGUCCUAGCCGUAAACGAUGAAUACUAGGUGUCGGGACUUCGGUCUCGGUGCCGCAGCUAACGCAUUAAGUAUUCCACCUGGGGACUACGGCCGCAAGGCUAAAACUCAAAGGAAUUGACGGGGACCCGCACAAGCGGUGGAACAUGUGGUUUAAUUCGAUGCUACGCGAAGAACCUCACCUGGGCUUGACUUGCUCGUCGUAUCUCUCUGAAAGGAGAGAGUCAGCUCGGCUGGACG